Molecule: ribosomal RNA, 497 nt
Filed under: uncultured bacterium
Lineage: Bacteria
Description: partial 16S ribosomal RNA
Rfam family: Bacterial small subunit ribosomal RNA
Source: RNAcentral
GAUGAACGCUGGCGGCGUGCCUAAUACAUGCAAGUCGAGCGAACGGACGAGAAGCUUGCUUCUCUGAUGUUAGCGGCGGACGGGUGAGUAACACGUGGAUAACCUACCUAUAAGACUGGGAUAACUUCGGGAAACCGGAGCUAAUACCGGAUGAUAUUUUGAACCGCAUGGUUCAAAAGUGAAAGACGGUCUUGCUGUCACUUAUAGAUGGAUCCGCGCUGCAUUAGCUAGUUGGUAAGGUAACGGCUUACCAAGGCAACGAUGCAUAGCCGACCUGAGAGGGUGAUCGGCCACACUGGAACUGAGACACGGUCCAGACUCCUACGGGAGGCAGCAGUAGGGAAUCUUCCGCAAUGGGCGAAAGCCUGACGGAGCAACGCCGCGUGAGUGAUGAAGGUCUUCGGAUCGUAAAACUCUGUCAUUAGGGAAGAACAUAUGUGUAAGUAACUGUGCACAUCCUGACGGUACCUAAUCAGAAAGCCACGGCUAACUACGUG